Molecule: long non-coding RNA, 632 nt
Filed under: Vigna radiata
Lineage: Eukaryota; Viridiplantae; Streptophyta; Magnoliopsida; Fabales; Fabaceae
Description: long non-coding RNA (VRAD_LNC014989)
Source: RNAcentral
UAACAAGGUAUUAUACAAUUCAGAUUUCAGGGGAAUCCUAUAAAGAUGCAUGCAUGCUUUCAAUCCAAUUNAGUUCACAUAAUCAAUCUUUUUCCAACAGAUGUUUUGUUCAUGAAUGAUCAAUCAACUAAGCAUAGAUGUAAACAUGGAUUUAACAAUUCUCACCAAGCAAGUGUUUCACUCAAUCACUCAAGUGUUUAGGAGGUCACUCUACUUUCUACUAUUCACAUGUCACAUAAAACAAUAUUGUCAUUUAUCUAAAACAAUCAAAAUCUUCACAUGCAAAUGUUAUCAUAAGGACUUUUCCAAGGCUUGUAAUGAGGCUGGGCUAUCAAGAAAAAUUGGUUUUUCUGGAAUACAAAAUCCUUGAGUUAAGAGAGUUUAAAUCAUCAUUCAAAGUUCAAGCACACUCUCUUUUCAACCAAUCUCACUCAUUCCCAACUUCUUCCCUUUUUCCUUUUUACAUUGAGCUCAUUUUUCAUGCUUUUUCUUUGUUCUUCUAUUUUCUUUUUCUCGUGCAUUUUUCUUUUUCAACUUUUGAACUCAAUAUUUUUUUUUCUUUUGCCUUUCACUUUCCCCAUACAACCCCAAACUUGAACCUUUUCAACACAUACAAUUAUUCUCAACCCAAC